CCCUGGCUCGAGAGCCUAUCGACCUCAUGGUUGGAAUCUUAUUGACCACAUAGGAUGAGAUUUUGUGAUCGACAUCGAUGAUGAUACAUCUGAACCAAAACCUCGAUUGUGCGCCGACUUUAGACCGGCCUAUUCACUCACAUGGAUCAUCAUCAGGAAUAUUCUAACGAACCAUCAGAAUGUGGCUACUACUCAUGACUAACAACCUUCGAUUUGCAGGUUUCCUAUCCUAAUCGUUUGGUAGUGUGGCC
This 251-nucleotide long non-coding RNA is filed under the name Elaeis guineensis (African oil palm). RNAcentral's name for it is "long non-coding RNA (EGUI_LNC025342)". Lineage: Eukaryota; Viridiplantae; Streptophyta; Magnoliopsida; Arecales; Arecaceae. The record is from RNAcentral.